RNAcentral lists this ribosomal RNA (2936 nucleotides) under Priestia megaterium. RNAcentral's name for it is "23S ribosomal RNA". It matches the Rfam family "Bacterial large subunit ribosomal RNA". The record is from RNAcentral. Lineage: Bacteria; Bacillati; Bacillota; Bacilli; Caryophanales; Bacillaceae. RNAcentral also lists the same sequence under 3 other names.
GGUUAAGUUAGAAAGGGCGCACGGUGAAUGCCUUGGCACUAGGAGCCGAUGAAGGACGGGACUAACACCGAUAUGCUUCGGGGAGCUGUAAGUGAGCUUUGAUCCGGAGAUUUCCGAAUGGGGAAACCCACUGUUCGUAAUGGAACAGUAUCUUUAUCUGAAUACAUAGGAUAUUGAAGGCAGACCCGGGGAACUGAAACAUCUAAGUACCCGGAGGAAGAGAAAGCAAAUGCGAUUUCCUGAGUAGCGGCGAGCGAAACGGAAUUAGCCCAAACCAAGAGGCUUGCCUCUUGGGGUUGUAGGACACUCUAUACGGAGUUACAAAGGAACGAAGUAAAUGAAGCGACCUGGAAAGGUCCGUCGAAGAAGGUAACAACCCUGUAGUUGAAACUUCGUUCCCUCUUGAGUGGAUCCUGAGUACGGCGGAACACGUGAAAUUCCGUCGGAAGCUGGGAGGACCAUCUCCCAAGGCUAAAUACUACCUAGUGACCGAUAGUGAACCAGUACCGUGAGGGAAAGGUGAAAAGCACCCCGGAAGGGGAGUGAAAGAGAUCCUGAAACCGUGUGCCUACAAGUAGUCAGAGCCCGUUAACGGGUGAUGGCGUGCCUUUUGUAGAAUGAACCGGCGAGUUACGAUCCCAUGCAAGGUUAAGCUGAUAAGGCGGAGCCGUAGCGAAAGCGAGUCUGAAUAGGGCGUUUAGUAUGUGGUUGUAGACCCGAAACCAGGUGAUCUACCCAUGUCCAGGGUGAAGUUCAGGUAACACUGAAUGGAGGCCCGAACCCACGCACGUUGAAAAGUGCGGGGAUGAGGUGUGGGUAGCGGAGAAAUUCCAAUCGAACCUGGAGAUAGCUGGUUCUCUCCGAAAUAGCUUUAGGGCUAGCCUCAUGUUGUGAGAGUCUUGGAGGUAGAGCACUGAUUGGACUAGGGGCCCCCAACGGGUUACCGAAUUCAGUCAAACUCCGAAUGCCAAAGACUUAUCCAUGGGAGUCAGACUGCGAGUGAUAAGAUCCGUAGUCAAAAGGGAAACAGCCCAGACCACCAGCUAAGGUCCCCAAGUAUACGUUAAGUGGAAAAGGAUGUGGAGUUGCUUAGACAACCAGGAUGUUGGCUUAGAAGCAGCCACCAUUUAAAGAGUGCGUAAUAGCUCACUGGUCGAGUGACUCUGCGCCGAAAAUGUACCGGGGCUAAACGUAUCACCGAAGCUGUGGAUUGACAUCUUAGAUGUCAGUGGUAGGAGAGCGUUCUAAGUGCUGUGAAGUCAGACUGUAAGGACUGGUGGAGCGCUUAGAAGUGAGAAUGCCGGUAUGAGUAGCGAAAGACAAGUGAGAAUCUUGUCCACCGAAUGCCUAAGGUUUCCUGAGGAAGGCUCGUCCGCUCAGGGUUAGUCGGGACCUAAGCCGAGGCUGAAAAGCGUAGGCGAUGGCCAACAGGUUGAUAUUCCUGUACCACCUCCCCGCCGUUUGAGUAAUGGGGGGACGCAGUAGGAUAGGGUAAGCGCGCUGCUGGAUAUGCGCGUUCAAGCAGUUAGGCUGAUGAGUAGGCAAAUCCGCUCAUCAUAAAGGCUGAGCUGUGAUGACGAGGGAAUUAUAGUACCGAAGUUCCUGAUUCCACACUGCCAAGAAAAGCCUCUAGCGAGGCGGGAGGUGCCCGUACCGCAAACCGACACAGGUAGGCGAGGAGAGAAUCCUAAGGUGAUCGAGAGAACUCUCGUUAAGGAACUCGGCAAAAUGACCCCGUAACUUCGGGAGAAGGGGUGCUCUGGUAGGGUGUAUAGCCCGAGAGAGCCGCAGUGAAUAGGCCCAGGCGACUGUUUAGCAAAAACACAGGUCUCUGCGAAGCCGCAAGGCGAAGUAUAGGGGCUGACGCCUGCCCGGUGCUGGAAGGUUAAGAGGAGGGGUUAUCCUUUGGGAGAAGCUCUGAAUCGAAGCCCCAGUAAACGGCGGCCGUAACUAUAACGGUCCUAAGGUAGCGAAAUUCCUUGUCGGGUAAGUUCCGACCCGCACGAAAGGCGUAACGAUCUGGGCACUGUCUCAACGAGAGACUCGGUGAAAUUAUAGUACCUGUGAAGAUGCAGGUUACCCGCGACAGGACGGAAAGACCCCGUGGAGCUUUACUGUAGCCUGAUAUUGAAUUUUGGUACAGCUUGUACAGGAUAGGUAGGAGCCUGAGAAGCCGGAGCGCUAGCUUCGGUGGAGGCGUCGGUGGGAUACUACCCUGGCUGUAUUGAAAUUCUAACCCGCGGCCCUGAUCGGGCCGGGAGACAGUGUCAGGUGGGCAGUUUGACUGGGGCGGUCGCCUCCUAAAAUGUAACGGAGGCGCCCAAAGGUUCCCUCAGAAUGGUUGGAAAUCAUUCGUAGAGUGUAAAGGCACAAGGGAGCUUGACUGCGAGACCUACAAGUCGAGCAGGGACGAAAGUCGGGCUUAGUGAUCCGGUGGUUCCGCAUGGAAGGGCCAUCGCUCAACGGAUAAAAGCUACCCCGGGGAUAACAGGCUUAUCUCCCCCAAGAGUCCACAUCGACGGGGAGGUUUGGCACCUCGAUGUCGGCUCAUCGCAUCCUGGGGCUGUAGUCGGUCCCAAGGGUUGGGCUGUUCGCCCAUUAAAGCGGUACGCGAGCUGGGUUCAGAACGUCGUGAGACAGUUCGGUCCCUAUCCGUCGUGGGCGUAGGAAAUUUGAGAGGAGCUGUCCUUAGUACGAGAGGACCGGGAUGGACACACCGCUGGUGUACCAGUUGUCUUGCCAAAGGCAUCGCUGGGUAGCUAUGUGUGGACGGGAUAAGUGCUGAAAGCAUCUAAGCAUGAAGCCCCCCUCAAGAUGAGAUUUCCCAUAGCGCAAGCUAGUAAGAUCCCUGAAAGAUGAUCAGGUUGAUAGGUCAGAGGUGGAAGCGUGGCGACAUGUGUAGCUGACUGAUACUAAUCGAUCGAGGACUUAACCAA